This is a long non-coding RNA of Zalophus californianus (California sea lion), 1037 nucleotides long. RefSeq lists it as uncharacterized. The transcript is spliced from 3 exons. The record is from RefSeq and is a predicted model, not a curated record. NCBI's taxonomy places the organism in Eukaryota, Metazoa, Chordata, Mammalia, Carnivora, Otariidae.
UCACACAGAAGAGGGGCCAGGGAAUUCAAGGGACAAGUGGGAAAUAAUUGAUGUUAACAGAGGAGACGUGGUUAAAAGGUAUCGGCUGGGCUGUGAGAGAUUCUAACUGCAGUGGGGUCCGUCUGUAAGACACAGGGGCAGCAUCGAAAUGUGGGUCCAAUACCUAAAGGAGCUCAUGGGUGCUGUCGAGUUGCCCUGCUCAGAUGUAGCUUCAGGAAAGCCGCUGCAAGGAGCCCAGGGUGCUGAGAGUUGUCAACCUGCACACCUGCCCAGCACAGCCUGGGGGCCGCCGUGCCAUGUCACCCAAGCGGAGACCCGUCCUCUGGUGGUCUGUGCACAGGAGCCUGGCUGGGCUGGCCGUGAUUGGGUCCGGGGUCCACCCACCUAACCCUGUCCUGGUGUCAGACCUGCAGGAUCGAAUGAAGCUGACGUGGAGGAGCAUGCACCACGCUGAUGUCAAGGGGACCCUCCGAAGGCUGGUUGUCUACGGUUGCUGGGCUGUCCUACCUGCCUUCUCUGUUUGUAACUCAGUCUGAUGGAUUUCAUUAUAGUGAUUAGUCCGCUGAUAUGCACCUCCCAGCACUCAUCACUCAUUGGUCUCACACUCUUCUAUUCCCUCAACAGUACAGAACACAUGAAUUACUCUCAAGCAACUCUGGAAUUCAGGAUGUGUUUGCAGCAGAAAUGGGCAGACAGUGUGGUCACUUCCUCCUGAACCGUGUCCUUGGUCAGCCAGGAACCUACGUGCUGAGCUCACCCUGGCACAUCGGUCUUGCACACCCAUGAUGCGCAGGUGUGGUUCCCGUAAAUGCAGAGCCAUGGCGGUGUGUGGACCGAGGCCAUGUAUCUGGGAGGCUGGACCACGUCAGUCUGAGCGGCCCCCAGCAGACGUUGCCUUCUGUCCUCUAUGUGGGGUUCCUGUUUUGCUCUUAUGUUUUUUGCUGUUGUUGUUAAUAUUACCUGUUAAUCUGGAACCUAAAAUGAAAAAUGGGCUUUACGUGUCAGGAACUCAUGAACUUUAUAUCCAAAUGACCUCU